CAACAUUGCUGAUAUUACAGCUGGCAUCCCCUCCAAGUCCGCAGACUCAAUUCGGACUACUUCGUUAUUUGCGCACCUCAAAUCAAUAGUCUUGCUCUUGCAAUUCAUAAUCGCAUCAUGCGCGGUCAACCAAUCCAAACCAAGGAUAACAUCAAAUUCAUCAAACGGCAAAAGCAUCAAGUCCGCCGGAAAACAGGAACCUCGAAUUU
This 209-nucleotide long non-coding RNA is filed under the name Gossypium barbadense (sea-island cotton). Its description in RNAcentral is "long non-coding RNA (GBAR_LNC000587)". The record is from RNAcentral. Lineage: Eukaryota; Viridiplantae; Streptophyta; Magnoliopsida; Malvales; Malvaceae.